RNAcentral lists this ribosomal RNA (497 nucleotides) under uncultured bacterium. RNAcentral's name for it is "partial 16S ribosomal RNA". It matches the Rfam family "Bacterial small subunit ribosomal RNA", at positions 28 to 507 of the family's 1533-position model. The record is from RNAcentral.
GACGAACGCUGGCGGCGUGCCUAAUACAUGCAAGUAGAACGCUGAAGAGAGGAGCUUGCUCUUCUUGGAUGAGUUGCGAACGGGUGAGUAACGCGUAGGUAACCUGCCUUGUAGCGGGGGAUAACUAUUGGAAACGAUAGCUAAUACCGCAUAACAAUGGAUGACACAUGUCAUUUAUUUGAAAGGGGCAAUUGCUCCACUACAAGAUGGACCUGCGUUGUAUUAGCUAGUAGGUGAGGUAAUGGCUCACCUAGGCGACGAUACAUAGCCGACCUGAGAGGGUGAUCGGCCACACUGGGACUGAGACACGGCCCAGACUCCUACGGGAGGCAGCAGUAGGGAAUCUUCGGCAAUGGGGGCAACCCUGACCGAGCAACGCCGCGUGAGUGAAGAAGGUUUUCGGAUCGUAAAGCUCUGUUGUAAGUCAAGAACGGGUGUGAGAGUGGAAAGUUCACACUGUGACGGUGGCUUACCAGAAAGGGACGGCUAACUACGUG